This is a long non-coding RNA of Mastomys coucha (southern multimammate mouse), 696 nucleotides long. RefSeq lists it as uncharacterized. The transcript has 3 exons. The record is from RefSeq and is a predicted model, not a curated record. NCBI's taxonomy places the organism in Eukaryota, Metazoa, Chordata, Mammalia, Rodentia, Muridae.
GGCAGGAUAGAGAAGAGGGGAUAUGCAGAGUUUGGCAGACAUCAAAGAGGUAGAGCAACUUGCCUGCAGUGGAGGACAGAAGCUAGCCAUGUUGGUAACCUGUAAUCUCAUCUUUCAAGAGGAUGAGGCAAAAGGAUCACCAGCUUGAGGCCAGCUCAAGCCUCACGGGCAUGAAAGCACCAAGUCCAGUGCAUUUUCCCAAUGGGGAAAGCAGUGGGCUGUGUGUCAUCCUGCUGACUGGGGUGGCAGAGACAGACCUGAGAAGACAGGAGAGUCUGAGACCUGACAAAUGUAAAGGCUUCCGUGAAAAUCAGCUGACAGACACCAAAUUUGUCUUUUUUUCAUCUGUUUAUUUGUAUAUCUAUCCACAACACAUGGAGGUCUCAGGGUGGCAAAGAUCUUCGAUCCUCGUGGCACUCGGAGGUAAAGGCAGUCCUUUGCCCGUGAUGAGUACUAAAGAAAAUAUUAACAGAGCAGACAGCUGCAGCUACUGGCUGUAAAGUGGAUAAGAUUGCUCAUUUUCCCUCCUAGGUCUCCACCUCAACAAAUGUGGAUAUCAUUGCUGGCUUGAGGGGUCUGAGAACAGGUAUGGGUCUGGGUGAAGACCUCCUGUUCCUGGAUGUGGAAAUCCUGGCCUUUGGUGCGAUAGGAAAUGCUAAUUCUAGACCAAUUAAAAGAGCCUGGUCUCUCUUCUGA